Molecule: ribosomal RNA, 253 nt
Filed under: uncultured bacterium
Lineage: Bacteria
Description: partial 16S ribosomal RNA
Rfam family: Bacterial small subunit ribosomal RNA
Source: RNAcentral
UACGAAGGGUGCAAGCGUUAUUCGGAAUUACUGGGCGUAAAGCGUGCGUAGGUGGUUCGUUAAGUCUGAUGUGAAAGCCCUGGGCUCAACCUGGGAAUGGCAUUGGAAACUGGCGACCUAGAGUGCGGUAGAGGGUAGUGGAAUUCCCGGUGUAGCAGUGAAAUGCGUAGAGAUCGGGAGGAACAUCUGUGGCGAAGGCGACUGCCUGGACCAGCACUGACACUGAGGCACGAAAGCGUGGGGAGCAAACAGG